RNAcentral lists this ribosomal RNA (468 nucleotides) under uncultured bacterium. Its description in RNAcentral is "partial 16S ribosomal RNA". It matches the Rfam family "Bacterial small subunit ribosomal RNA", at positions 28 to 507 of the family's 1533-position model. The record is from RNAcentral.
GACGAACGCUGGCGGCGUGCUUAACACAUGCAAGUCGAACGGAAAGGCCCUGCUUUUGUGGGGUGCUCGAGUGGCGAACGGGUGAGUAACACGUGAGUAACCUGCCCUUGACUUUGGGAUAACUUCAGGAAACUGGGGCUAAUACCGGAUAGGAGCUCCUGCUGCAUGGUGGGGGUUGGAAAGUUUCGGCGGUUGGGGAUGGACUCGCGGCUUAUCAGCUUGUUGGUGGGGUAGUGGCUUACCAAGGCUUUGACGGGUAGCCGGCCUGGGAGGGUGAACGGCCACACUGGGACUGAGAUACGGCCCAGACUGCUACGGGAGGCAGCAGUGGGGAAUAUUGUACAAUGGGCGGAAGUCUGAUGCGGCAACGCCGCGUGCGGGAUGACGGCCUUGGUGUUGUAAACCGCUGUCGCCUGUGACGAAGCGUGAGUGACGGUAAUGGGUAAAGAAGCACCGGCUAACUACGUG